Molecule: ribosomal RNA, 436 nt
Filed under: uncultured Pseudoflavonifractor sp.
Lineage: Bacteria; Bacillati; Bacillota; Clostridia; Eubacteriales; Oscillospiraceae
Description: partial 16S ribosomal RNA
Rfam family: Bacterial small subunit ribosomal RNA
Source: RNAcentral
ACGGAAGGCAGCAGUGGGGAAUAUUGGGCAAUGGGCGAAAGCCUGACCUAGCGACGCCGCGUGAGCGAAGAAGGUCUUCGGAUUGUAAAGCUCUGUUGACAGGGACGAAGAAGUGACGGUACCUGUCGAGGAAGCCACGGCUAACUACGUGCCAGCAGCCGCGGUAAUACGUAGGUGGCAAGCGUUAUCCGGAUUUACUGGGUGUAAAGGGUGUGUAGGCGGGGGAGCAAGUCAGAUGUGAAAUCUAUGGGCUCAACUCAUAGACUGCGUCUGAAACUGUUCUUCUUGAGUGUCGGAGGGGUAAUCGGAAUUCCUGGUGUAGCGGUGAAAUGCGUAGAUAUCAGGAGGAACACCGGUGGCGAAGGCGGAUUACUGGACGACAACUGACGCUGAGACACGAAAGCGUGGGGAGCAAACAGGAUUAGAUACCCUGGUA